UGAAGUAUGCCGUAGUUCAGGUCCUGGAUCAAAAGAACGAACCAUAUGCAGUAUGGAUCAAAGAUGACAUCUGUUGUUGGCCACCACUCAGCCUCAGAAAAAAGAACAAAAUAAAUAAUUUAGCCAUCGUGUGUUAGCCACCAGACAGCACCUGGGAAAGAAGUGAAGCAUUAUUAAUGAAAAAAUCCAUACAACUAAGAAGUAACUUGUAAUUUUCCACAAGGUUAACUUUUAACCUUUUAAAUUUAGUUUACAUUUUUCUGGGAAGAAAUCCCAAAACUCCAGCAAGAAAACAAAUCACUGAAGGAAGACCGGGCAGAAAUGCAGAGUCCAGCAGGAAAACAGAGCCCUGAGGGAAGAAGUUAAGGUGCUAUGGAGUGGGCCAGCAGGUCCAGGUGGUAUCAGAUGACUGAGUGAAAAAGUGGUGCAGGUUGCUACCAUACUAAGGACUUUUACUUCAAGUGGGCAAUCAGAUCUGGAUAACACACUUUUGCUGCAGCGUAUUGGAGCAGUGGAUGACCCAACGCUUGAGAUGGAUAACAAGAUGAAUACCGUGUUAGCCUAUCAACAGACCAAUGGGUCGGGUCGGUUGGAGCUUUGUCCUUACCUGAUGAUCUCAAUCUCCCGAUGGAGGACCGGCAAGACCUGGAGCUGCUGGAGACCAGGCUGACCAGGACACGAGCCCAAGGAGAGACUUGUAAGUGUGCUCAGAAUUUUAAAUAGUAUGACUUUUUCCUGGAAGGUAAAAGAGACAUUCAACUUUGACCCUGUUGUUGUGACUGUUGUAACCUGACGUAACGGCAGCAUGUUCUAAAUUCCUCCACUCAGUAUUUUGGCAUAAGGCAUUAUAUUACAUGUAAGUAAUUGACAUCCUGUAAUGAUGUGCGCUGAGAGUCAGGAAGCAGGUUCAGCGAGUGAGUGUUUUAAUAAAUAAAUAAAUGCAACAUAGUACAAAACAAGAAACACUAACAGCACAGACAAGAAACAGAAGCAAUGACACCUGGGGAAGGAACCAAAGGGAGUGACAUAUAUAGGGAAGGUAAUCAGUGAAGUGAUGGAGUCUAGGUGAGUCUGAUGACACGCAGGUGCGCGUAUCGAUGGUGACAGGUGUGCGCCAUAACGAGCAGCCUGGUGACCUGGAGAGGGAGCACACGUGACACAUCCGUUUUUAUAGACUGUCACAAUAAAUGUUUAUAAAAUAUAGGGAGUUGGGGAGGGAAAUAUGUUAACAUAGUGUGUCAUUUCUAAUACUUUUACAUUUGUAGCUUACAGUGGUUGCUCCACUAAAAGUUUUGCGAUUAUGAUGCGGGACUUAGAGGUCAUUUGUGGUUUAGUACGGUACCCUGCGUCGCCACUUCAUUGCUCCA
Non-coding RNA from Salmo salar (Atlantic salmon), 1367 nucleotides. NCBI's taxonomy places the organism in Eukaryota, Metazoa, Chordata, Actinopteri, Salmoniformes, Salmonidae. The record is from RefSeq and is a predicted model, not a curated record.